RNAcentral lists this ribosomal RNA (241 nucleotides) under uncultured bacterium. RNAcentral's name for it is "partial 16S ribosomal RNA". It matches the Rfam family "Bacterial small subunit ribosomal RNA", at positions 1260 to 1500 of the family's 1533-position model. The record is from RNAcentral.
ACGGUGCGCGAAUCCCAAAAAUAACGUCUCAGUUCGGAUUGUAGUCUGCAACUCGACUACAUGAAGCUGGAAUCGCUAGUAAUCGCGGAUCAGAAUGCCGCGGUGAAUACGUUCCCGGGUCUUGUACACACCGCCCGUCACACCAUGGGAGCCGGUAAUACCCGAAGUCAGUAGUCCAACCGCAAGGAGGGCGCUGCCGAAGGUAGGAUUGGCGACUGGGGUGAAGUCGUAACAAGGUACC